Molecule: ribosomal RNA, 815 nt
Filed under: Bacillus pumilus
Lineage: Bacteria; Bacillati; Bacillota; Bacilli; Caryophanales; Bacillaceae
Description: bacterial SSU rRNA
Rfam family: Bacterial small subunit ribosomal RNA
Source: RNAcentral
UGCAGUCGAGCGGACAGAAGGGAGCUUGCUCCCGGAUGUUAGCGGCGGACGGGUGAGUAACACGUGGGUAACCUGCCUGUAAGACUGGGAUAACUCCGGGAAACCGGAGCUAAUACCGGAUAGUUCCUUGAACCGCAUGGUUCAAGGAUGAAAGACGGUUUCGGCUGUCACUUACAGAUGGACCCGCGGCGCAUUAGCUAGUUGGUGAGGUAACGGCUCACCAAGGCGACGAUGCGUAGCCGACCUGAGAGGGUGAUCGGCCACACUGGGACUGAGACACGGCCCAGACUCCUACGGGAGGCAGCAGUAGGGAAUCUUCCGCAAUGGACGAAAGUCUGACGGAGCAACGCCGCGUGAGUGAUGAAGGUUUUCGGAUCGUAAAGCUCUGUUGUUAGGGAAGAACAAGUGCAAGAGUAACUGCUUGCACCUUGACGGUACCUAACCAGAAAGCCACGGCUAACUACGUGCCAGCAGCCGCGGUAAUACGUAGGUGGCAAGCGUUGUCCGGAAUUAUUGGGCGUAAAGGGCUCGCAGGCGGUUUCUUAAGUCUGAUGUGAAAGCCCCCGGCUCAACCGGGGAGGGUCAUUGGAAACUGGGAAACUUGAGUGCAGAAGAGGAGAGUGGAAUUCCACGUGUAGCGGUGAAAUGCGUAGAGAUGUGGAGGAACACCAGUGGCGAAGGCGACUCUCUGGUCUGUAACUGACGCUGAGGAGCGAAAGCGUGGGGAGCGAACAGGAUUAGAUACCCUGGUAGUCCACGCCGUAACGAUGAGUGCUAAGUGUUAGGGGGUUUCCGCCCCUUAGUGCUGCAGCUAA